This 439-nucleotide unclassified non-coding RNA is filed under the name Hevea brasiliensis (rubber tree). Lineage: Eukaryota; Viridiplantae; Streptophyta; Magnoliopsida; Malpighiales; Euphorbiaceae. The record is from RNAcentral.
GGACUUGCGACAGUGAAAUUUAUUCAGAUGUACAUGAUCAUCUCAUGCUUCAGCCACUCGCAUACAAGACCUACAAAUGUGUGUGUGCAUAUUUUCAAAGAAUCUCAACCUAUAAUAUAGAUUGAACUGAAUCAGAAGCACCAGAAAGGAAUGUUAUACAUAGAGGGAAUUUUGUCACUUUAUUCGCUCAACUGAUUUGCCUCAACAGAGAGGUAAAAACUCAAUUUCGUCAAAUCCGCAAACAUACCUCUCUACGACCAUUUCAAUCUUAACCAAUAUCAUCCUAAAUACACCAUCUUGUUCUCUUGCUUUUAUCGACAAUGCUGUUUAUUCACUCCUCUCUCAUCUAUCACAAGGGAACUUCGAGUCCUUCUCCGUCACUUUAAAGUGCUGGGGCUUCUGCCCCGAACAAUGGAUAUUCCACAUUUUGAAAUAUGCC